UUCCUCCUGCAGUGUUCGAGGCGGGUCUAAGUCUUUCGACCCUAAAUCAUGACCUUGGGGUCGUCGUCUGUAGACAGUUUUGUGCAGAUCCGCCGCGAGCGGAAAGCCUGCGCUGUCACGGCUGACCCCACCUAUCGCUCUGGUUCGAGAGCGAUGAUUCGUCACGGCACAGGCGGGAGGAAC
This 183-nucleotide non-coding RNA is filed under the name Chromatiales bacterium. RNAcentral's name for it is "6S RNA". It matches the Rfam family "6S / SsrS RNA". From Rfam's summary of the family: E. coli 6S RNA was the first non coding RNA to be sequenced, but its function was unknown until recently. It consists of 184 nucleotides that fold into an extended hairpin structure with a large single-stranded internal bulge. The 6S RNA specifically associates with RNA polymerase holoenzyme containing the sigma70 specificity factor. Lineage: Bacteria; Pseudomonadati; Pseudomonadota; Gammaproteobacteria; Chromatiales. The record is from RNAcentral.